CNCCAACCCAAUGUGACCAUACCAACUGUUGCCUCGGCGGGGUCACGCCCCGGGUGCGUCGCAGCCCCGGAACCAGGCGCCCGCCGGAGGGACCAACCAAACUCUUUUCUGUAGUCCCCUCGCGGACGUUAUUUCUUACAGCUCUGAGCAAAAAUUCAAAAUGAAUCAAAACUUUCAACAACGGAUCUCUUGGUUCUGGCAUCGAUGAAGAACSCAGCGAAAUGCGAUAAGUAAUGUGAAUUGCARAAUUCAGUGAAUCAUCGAAUCUUUGAACGCACAUUGCGCCCGCCAGUAUUCUGGCGGGCAUGCCUGUCCRAGCGUCAUUUCAACCCUCGAACCCCUCCGGGGGGUCGGCGUUGGGGAUCGGGAACCCCUAAGACGGGAUCCCGGCCCCGAAAUACAGUGGCGGUCUCGCCGCAGCCUCUCCUGCGCAGUAGUUUGCACAACUCGCACCGGGAGCGCGGCGCGUCCACGUCCGUAAAACACCCAACUUCUGAAAUGUUGACCUCGGAUCAGGUAGGAAUACCCGCUGAACUUAAGCAUAUCAUA
Molecule: ribosomal RNA, 549 nt
Filed under: Trichoderma sp. AH-Group-10
Lineage: Eukaryota; Fungi; Ascomycota; Sordariomycetes; Hypocreales; Hypocreaceae
Description: eukaryotic LSU rRNA
Rfam family: 5.8S ribosomal RNA (bases 170-323)
Source: RNAcentral